UCUCUCUCUCUCGGUUACAUCCUCCGUUCUCGCCGGCGACGAUCAUCUCCAAAUCCAGUUCUCCUUCAAUGGUGAUCUUCUCCAAAUACCCAAAAUCCGAAUUCCCCAGAACUGCUGGUGAUUUUCAGUUGUUCUUCUAUAUGUUGCAAAGGCCCGAUCGAUGAUUCAGAUGGGUUCGCCGAAGCCGAUUCCGAUCCCUACCUUGUCUUCGUUUGAAGGAUCACUGUGGAUGAAGGAAUGAACCGUGUCGCCUCGCCUGCAAUGAAGUGUGUUUUCAGGGUCUGCAUUGACAUCUAGCUUGUAUUCUCGAGCGUUGCAGCCGUCCUGCUGAUUCAAUGAAUCAUAGCCGCACGUAACAGGUCUGUCUGAUCAUCACAUUGUGGUGCUGGAUGGACAUCAUUGACAUGGUCAAAGCAAAAAGCCAAACAAACAAGACAUUGUGUUGGAUAAUCCUACGAGCCGGAGGGAUGCAAAAGAAGAGAGCAUAACACAAAAAAAGACAAGGACAUCUUCUUGCCAAGUCCUCAGGUUCGGUCCCCUAGCUGGAUGUCAUCCCUGUGGCAUCAUUGACAGCUCACGCGAGUACGGUUGCUCUCCAUCUGAUUUAUCAGAGAGGAAAGACGUUUAGACAGACAAAUGACAAAAACAUGAAACAAAGAUUGUACACAAUGUCUGUUUUUCUGCAGUUUGUCAACGCUUUUAUAUAGAACAAGCUACAUUUUAACAGCAUGAAUGAAGCUGGCCCACAAUUUGUCCCCAAGAUUCAAUAAUAAUAACAAUAACAAGAAGUUUUCA
Long non-coding RNA from Tarenaya hassleriana, 795 nucleotides. RefSeq lists it as uncharacterized. Lineage: Eukaryota; Viridiplantae; Streptophyta; Magnoliopsida; Brassicales; Cleomaceae. The transcript has 5 exons. The record is from RefSeq and is a predicted model, not a curated record.